This is a non-coding RNA of Ictalurus punctatus (channel catfish), 384 nucleotides long. Lineage: Eukaryota; Metazoa; Chordata; Actinopteri; Siluriformes; Ictaluridae. The record is from the annotation of a RefSeq genome assembly.
AUGUUCUCUACAUCUCUACUGCUCCUGCUGGCAGCUGCUUCCUAUGUGCAUGGUGAGGAACUGACUCAGCCUGCUUCCAUGCCAGUCCAGCCAGGCCAGAGUCUCUCCAUCAACUGCAAGGUUUCAUAUUCUGUUACCAGCUAUACUACAGCUUGGAUCCGACAACCUGCAGGAAAAGCUAUGAAGUGGAUUGGAUAUAUCAGUUACAAUGGGGGUAUAGCUUACAGUGACAAACUGAAAAAUAAGUUCAGUAUCUCCAGAGACACUGCUACUAACACAAUAACAAUUGGAGGACAGAAUCUGCAAACUGAAGACACAGCUUUGUAUUACUGCGCAAGAGUCACAGUGACACAGAAUAGUGGAUUCUCCUUACAAAAACUUUGA